Molecule: ribosomal RNA, 235 nt
Filed under: uncultured bacterium
Lineage: Bacteria
Description: partial 16S ribosomal RNA
Rfam family: Bacterial small subunit ribosomal RNA
Source: RNAcentral
UGUUCGGAAUUACUGGGCGUAAAGCGCACGUAGGCGGCUUUGUAAGUUAGAGGUGAAAGCCCGGGGCUCAACUCCGGAAUUGCCUUUAAGACUGCAUCGCUCGAACGUUGGAGAGGUGAGUGGAAUUCCGAGUGUAGAGGUGAAAUUCGUAGAUAUUCGGAAGAACACCAGUGGCGAAGGCGACUCACUGGACGACUGUUGACGCUGAGGUGCGAAAGCGUGGGGAGCAAACAGG